CUUCAAGGAUGCUUCGCAGCUGCACAAGCGUCCGGCCUCGAUGACUCAUCCACGCGAAGCUCCGGAAUGAUCAGCUUUCCGGGGAGUGCUAGCUCGCAGGAAGGCAGAAGGUUGGCUGAAAGGGAGAAGAAGGAAGAAGAUGGACCUUCACAGCUCAAGAACUCUUUCUUGGGCUUUCACCUUCAGAACUACUCUCUCCUCUCACUCUCUUUCUCU
This 216-nucleotide long non-coding RNA is filed under the name Phoenix dactylifera (date palm). RNAcentral describes it as "long non-coding RNA (PDAC_LNC017997)". The record is from RNAcentral. Lineage: Eukaryota; Viridiplantae; Streptophyta; Magnoliopsida; Arecales; Arecaceae.